CCUACGGGGAGCAGCAGUGAGGAAUAUUGGUCAAUGGACGAGAGUCUGAACCAGCCAAGUAGCGUGAAGGAUGACUGCCCUAUGGGUUGUAAACUUCUUUUAUAUGGGAAUAAAAUGUUCCACGUGUGGGAUUUUGUAUGUACCAUAUGAAUAAGGAUCGGCUAACUCCGUGCCAGCAGCCGCGGUAAUACGGAGGAUCCGAGCGUUAUCCGGAUUUAUUGGGUUUAAAGGGAGCGUAUGUGGAUUGUUAAGUCAGUUGUGAAAGUUUGCGGCUCAACCGUAAAAUUGCAGUUGAAACUGGCAGUCUGGAGUACAGUAGAGGUGGGCGGAAUUCGUGGUGUAGCGGUGAAAUGCUUAGAUAUCACGAAGAACUCCGAUUGCGAAGGCAGCUCACUGGACUGCAACUGACACUGAGGCUCGAAAGUGUGGGUAUCAAACAGGAUUAGAUACCCCUGUAGUC
Molecule: ribosomal RNA, 460 nt
Filed under: uncultured bacterium
Lineage: Bacteria
Description: partial 16S ribosomal RNA
Rfam family: Bacterial small subunit ribosomal RNA
Source: RNAcentral